Molecule: ribosomal RNA, 405 nt
Filed under: uncultured bacterium
Lineage: Bacteria
Description: bacterial SSU rRNA
Rfam family: Bacterial small subunit ribosomal RNA
Source: RNAcentral
GUGGGGAAUAUUGCACAAUGGGGGAAACCCUGAUGCAGCAACGCCGCGUGAAGGAAGAAGGCCUUUGGGUCGUAAACUUCUGUCCUAAGGGAAGAUAAUGACGGUACCUUUGGAGGAAGCCCCGGCUAACUACGUGCCAGCAGCCGCGGUAAUACGUAGGGGGCGAGCGUUAUCCGGAAUUAUUGGGCGUAAAGAGUGCGUAGGCGGUUUUUUAAGCGCGGGGUGAAAGGCAAUGGCUUAACCAUUGUUAGCCCUGCGAACUGGGAGACUUGAGUGCAGGAGAGGAAAGCGGAAUUCCUAGUGUAGCGGUGAAAUGCGUAGAUAUUAGGAGGAACACCAGUGGCGAAGGCGGCUUUCUGGACUGUAACUGACGCUGAGGCACGAAAGUGUGGGGAGCAAACAGGA